This 448-nucleotide ribosomal RNA is filed under the name uncultured bacterium. RNAcentral's name for it is "partial 16S ribosomal RNA". It matches the Rfam family "Bacterial small subunit ribosomal RNA", at positions 329 to 793 of the family's 1533-position model. The record is from RNAcentral.
UUCCAGACUCCUACGGGAGGCAGCAGUGGGGGAUAUUGCACAAUGGGGGGAACCCUGAUGCAGCGACGCCGCGUGGGUGAAGGAGCGUUUCGGCGCGUAAAGCCCUAUCGGCAGGGAAGAAGGAGGACGGUACCUGACUAAGAAGCCCCGGCUAACUACGUGCCAGCAACCGCGGUAAUACGUAGGGGGCAAGCGUUAUCCGGAUUUACUGGGUGUAAAGGGGGCGCAGACGGCAGCGCAAGCCAGGAGUGAAAGCCCGGGGCCCAACCCCGGGACUGCUCUUGGAACUGCGCGGCUGGAGCGCAGGAGGGGCAGGCGGAAUUCCUGGUGUAGCGGUGAAAUGCGUAGAUAUCAGGAGGAACACCGGUGGCGAAGGCGGCCUGCUGGACUGCGACUGACGUUGAGGCCCGAAAGCGUGGGGAGCAAACAGGAUUAGAUACCCCGGUAA